RNAcentral lists this ribosomal RNA (445 nucleotides) under uncultured bacterium. Its description in RNAcentral is "bacterial SSU rRNA". It matches the Rfam family "Bacterial small subunit ribosomal RNA", at positions 354 to 796 of the family's 1533-position model. The record is from RNAcentral.
GUAAGGAAUAUUGGUCAAUGGACGCAAGUCUGAACCAGCCAUGCCGCGUGGAGGAUGAAGGUCCUCUGGAUUGUAAACUUCUUUUAUCUGGGAAGAAAUCCAUAAAUUCUUUUAUGGUUGACGGUACCAGGUGAAUAAGCACCGGCUAACUCCGUGCCAGCAGCCGCGGUAAUACGGAGGGUGCAAGCGUUAUCCGGAUUCACUGGGUUUAAAGGGUGCGUAGGCGGAUUGGUAAGUCCGUGGUGAAAUCCCCGAGCUUAACUCGGGAACUGCCAUGGAUACUAUCAGUCUUGAAUAUCUUGGAGGUAAGCGGAAUAUGUCAUGUAGCGGUGAAAUGCUUAGAUAUGACAUAGAACACCAAUUGCGAAGGCAGCUUACUACGCGAUAAUUGACGCUGAGGCACGAAAGCGUGGGGAUCAAACAGGAUUAGAUACCCGAGUAGUCC